AUACUUACCUGGUGGGAGAGAUAGCAUGAUCAUGAAGGUGGUUCUCUCAGGGUGAGGCUCAUCCAUUGCACUCAGGUCAUUCUGACCCCUGCAAUUUCCCCAAGCACAGGAAAUUCGGCUGCACAGUUUCUGCUGGUAGAGGACUGUGUUCACACUUUCCUCUG
Molecule: small nuclear RNA, 164 nt
Filed under: Zalophus californianus (California sea lion)
Lineage: Eukaryota; Metazoa; Chordata; Mammalia; Carnivora; Otariidae
Description: U1 spliceosomal RNA (ENSZCAG00015005922.1)
Rfam family: U1 spliceosomal RNA
About the family: U1 is a small nuclear RNA (snRNA) component of the spliceosome (involved in pre-mRNA splicing).
Source: RNAcentral